RNAcentral lists this ribosomal RNA (406 nucleotides) under uncultured bacterium. RNAcentral describes it as "partial 16S ribosomal RNA". It matches the Rfam family "Bacterial small subunit ribosomal RNA", at positions 30 to 526 of the family's 1533-position model. The record is from RNAcentral.
AUUGAACGCUGGCGGCAGGCCUAACACAUGCAAGUCGAGCGAGCGGCGGACGGGUGGGUAAUGUCUGGGAAACUGCCUGCUGGAGGGGGAUAACUACUGGAAACGGUAGCUAAUACCGCAUACCCUCAGAUGUGCCCAGAUGGGUUUAGCUAGUUGGUGGGGGAAUGGCUCACCUAGGCGACGAUCCCUCGCUGGUCUGAGAGGAUGACCAGCCACACUGGAACUGAGACACGGUCCAGACUCCUACGGGAGGCAGCAGUGGGGAAUAUUGCACAAUGGGCGCAAGCCUGAUGCAGCCAUGCCGCGUGUAUGAAGAAGGCCUUCGGGUUGUAAAGUACUUUCAGCGAGGAGGCGUUACGCGCAGAAGAAGCACCGGCUAACUCCGUGCCAGCAGCCGCGGUAAUAC